AGGUCCAUUGCAGGGCAACCCUCCGUUGGCAGGUGCGACCUACACCCUACCCUGCCAAAGGGGAUUUGCCCGGCGAUGCGCCU
This 83-nucleotide microRNA precursor is filed under the name Sorghum bicolor (sorghum). Its description in RNAcentral is "pre miRNA mir-399". Lineage: Eukaryota; Viridiplantae; Streptophyta; Magnoliopsida; Poales; Poaceae. The record is from RNAcentral.